AGCCAUAUUGAAAAUCAUAGAAGUUGCUGUGACUGGGGAUUUACCUCUAAAUUAUUGACGAUAUUUCGACGGAACUUGCAUUAAAUGACCAACGAAAACAUUUGUAAGCAGUUAGCAAUGAUGAUGCAUUGUUUACUUUCUUACGGACCUGUUCCAGAAAGAUGGUUGACCAGGAACCCAGUUCUGGGCACCGUGGAUUUGCAGUUUUUAAAGCGGGCCAAUGUUUCGGUCGCAAGAAUCAGCAUCCCGGAAAAGUGGAAGUUUAAAUUGUGAAAGUAACGGUGUGGCGAAGUUGAUAAGCUUGAAGCAGAUUCCCUUGAACCGCGGAUUUCUUUCAACAGAGCGACCAACAACAUCUAGUGAAUGAACGCAAUAAUAUCGCAAAGUGAUUUUAAACAAAAAAAAACAGAUUGAUGUGAUUUAAUAAAAAUAAUGUCAAAAUAAACAUCAGUUACGGUCGUGCUUUA
Molecule: long non-coding RNA, 467 nt
Organism: Culex quinquefasciatus (southern house mosquito)
Lineage: Eukaryota; Metazoa; Arthropoda; Insecta; Diptera; Culicidae
Exons: 2
Source: RefSeq, a predicted model, not a curated record